UGGGGAAUUUUCCGCAAUGGGGGCAACCCUGACGGAGCAACGCCGCGUGCGGGAGGAAGGCCUUUGGGUUGUAAACCGCUUUUCUCAGGGAAGAAGCUCUGACGGUACCUGAGGAAUCAGCCUCGGCUAACUCCGUGCCAGCAGCCGCGGUAAUACGGAGGAGGCAAGCGUUAUCCGGAAUUAUUGGGCGUAAAGCGUCCGUAGGCGGUUAAUCAAGUCUGCUGUUAAAGGCCAGGGCUCAACUCUGGAUUGGCAGUGGAAACUGAGGGACUAGAGUUCGGUAGGGGUAGAGGGAAUUCCCAGUGUAGCGGUGAAAUGCGUAGAUAUUGGGAAGAACACCAGUGGCGAAGGCGCUCUACUGGGCCGAGACUGACGCUGAUGGACGAAAGCUAGGGGAGCGAAUGGGAUUAGAUACCCCGGUAGUCC
RNAcentral lists this ribosomal RNA (426 nucleotides) under uncultured prokaryote. RNAcentral describes it as "bacterial SSU rRNA". It matches the Rfam family "Bacterial small subunit ribosomal RNA", at positions 355 to 796 of the family's 1533-position model. The record is from RNAcentral.